CCAGGAGUUUGAGACCAGCCUGGACAACAUGGUGAGACCACAUCUCUAAUGAAAAGAAGCAAAGAAGCUGCCUGAGGAACUGAUACACUGAAACAAAGGAGUGAACCAAAACAGAGGAAGACAGGACAUACAGUCUCAGAAAGGUGAAGAAAAAUCCCAGGAUGACAGGUGAGCACUGGGCCCAAAGAGCAACCAGGGCAAGUAGCAGGUCGAAAGAUUCUAGUAGUGCUAUUAUCAGGAAGAGUCACACACACACACACACCCCUCACGUGUCUAAUUGUAUUAGAAGAGGUUACAGGACUGGGAAACAGUAGACCAGAAGCUUAAUUCAUGACUAGACACAGAAAACUAGAAAACCAACCAAUUAACCAAAUGACAAUAAAUAAAGAAAGAAAGAAAUAAAACCACCACUAGGGAAACAAAAAUUGUGCAAGAAAGGAAAAGUCGUAAUAACAACCAUAAUAUACCACAUAACCUGGUGUGAAUACUAUUUACAUAGCCAUUAAAAUGUGAACCUGCAAUGUUAAUUUAACAAAAAUUAUGACACAGCUAUAAUGGGUUGGUAGGGAUAUGGGCAGUGUAUAUAUGUGUGUAGUUCAGGUGGAGGAGGGUGCAGAGAGAAGUGAUUCUUCAUCUUCUAUGAUGGAAAGCCAAUAGGUAAAACCUAAAAUUGAAAAAAAAAUUACAAAUUAAGUUAUUAGAGAGAUGGAGAUGAAUACCAAAAGUUGUCAAAGAGAAAUACGUAAAACUACAGGGCUUUAAAACAUAAAGUUGUUUUUUUAAAAAAGAAAUCCCUUGUUCCUACUUGUCACCAACCACUUACCACUCCCCUAGACAUCAGUUUUACCUUCGCUGUGUCCUGUUGUUUGUCGAUAUUGUUCUGUCAACACACAUUUGUGGACCAGCUCCUGACACACUGUGCUGAUUAUUGAGGUGACCAAGAUGAACAGCAUCCCUAACUUGGAGAAGCUCAGAUUAUACCAAGGUUUCAGAUUCUUUGGAGAAAGUUGUGAAACAAUGGAGACUUUACUGAAAUCGGCAACACAAAUGCUGGGAUUCAAGCUUUCUUCACCCUUUCUAAUUCUCCAGAAAAAAACAACAUCAAAUCGAUGAUCCAUGGGGUCCCAGUCUGAGUUCUUUGCCUACUGAAGAUCUACUCUUACUUUUACUCAUUCUGUUUGAAUUGUGAUGAGGAUUUUCUCAGAAAGAUUAAAGGAGGACCUAGUGCAAAAGUGUCUUUAGCAUUUCCUGUAGCUACUGAUUGAUAUUAUCAUUCAAGGAGACUUAAACAUCAUUCCUCUGAAUUCCUAUACCUCGAUGGCUGCUUUGCCUGUCGGUAUCCACAUUGAUUCACCUUUGGGUCAGA
Molecule: long non-coding RNA, 1366 nt
Filed under: Macaca mulatta (Rhesus monkey)
Lineage: Eukaryota; Metazoa; Chordata; Mammalia; Primates; Cercopithecidae
Description: lncRNA (ENSMMUG00000063810.1)
Source: RNAcentral